AACAUCGCGCACCUGCGGGAACCUGCGGAGGGAUCAUUACCGAGUUUACAACUCCCAAACCCCUGUGAACAUACCUAUACGUUGCCUCGGCGGAUCAGCCCGCGCCCUGUAAAACGGGACGGCCCGCCCGAGGACCCUAAACUCUGUUUUUAGUGGAACUUCUGAGUAAAACAAACAAAUAAAUCAAAACUUUCAGCAACGGAUCU
RNAcentral lists this unclassified non-coding RNA (206 nucleotides) under soil metagenome. RNAcentral's name for it is "partial contains 5.8S ribosomal RNA, internal transcribed spacer 2, and large subunit ribosomal RNA". The record is from RNAcentral.